CUGUUAUCCCCGUGGUAACUUGUUGUAUCCUUCUUAGGGCUAGUUUAUUUUAUAAUAAAAAAGAUUUAGUUUUGUACCGCCCCAGUUAAAAGCUUAUUUUAAGUUCAGCGGGGUCUUGUCGUCUUCACUUUUAAUUUAAGUCUUUUUACUUAAACGAAAAUUUAAAAUAAUUGUUAUAAUAAAGAGUCUUACUCGUUAAUCCUUUCAUUCUAUCCUUUAAUUAAAAGGCUAGUUAUUAUGCUACCUUAGCACAUAAUAUUGCGGCUAUUUAAUGGUCAUUGAGCAGGAAUUACUAAUUA
RNAcentral lists this ribosomal RNA (299 nucleotides) under Stasimopus sp. 21STAS01. RNAcentral describes it as "partial large subunit ribosomal RNA". The record is from RNAcentral. Lineage: Eukaryota; Metazoa; Arthropoda; Arachnida; Araneae; Ctenizidae. RNAcentral also lists the same sequence under 4 other names.